RNAcentral lists this long non-coding RNA (531 nucleotides) under Pongo abelii (Sumatran orangutan). Its description in RNAcentral is "lncRNA (ENSPPYG00000035766.1)". The record is from RNAcentral. Lineage: Eukaryota; Metazoa; Chordata; Mammalia; Primates; Hominidae.
GUCUGCAACAAUGGAUAUUGUACUGCUCAUCACCUGUUCAGGAAUUCCCCAUUGAAGGACAGGCCCAGUUGCUGCUGCUUCUUCUUUCUCAAGCUAUUCAACAUAAAAUUGUUCAGGGUUUGUUCAGACUUGUCCAUUUAAUACUCAAAAAUGAAGUGCUACUUUCCCUAACUCUUCGGCUGACUGGUUUGAUUAAAAGUUCAGCAGAAGAUCCAGCUUGCUCCAGUGUAACUUUCUACAUCCCACAUCAGUAGAAACGGGAUUUCACCAUGUUGGCCUUGCUGGUCUUCAACUCCUGACCUCAAGUGAUCUGCCCUUCUUGGCCUCCCAAAGUGCUGAGAUUAUAGAUGUGAGGCACUGUACCUGGCCAAAGGGAUUUUUAAGAAAAGAGAACUUGACACAAGCUUUUCUUAAAGUUCAUCUGGAAAAGUAAAUAAGCAAAAAUACUCGAGAUCUUUUCUGUGUCACAAUACAUUAAAACAUUUCAAGGCUACAGUGAUUAAAAUGUGGUAUUGAUGCAGGAAUGGACAC